AGAUCUCUAAUUAGAAAAGACUAUUUGCUGAGUUUAAGCAUAUUAAUAAGUAGAGGAGAAGAAACUAACUAAUAUUCUUCUAGUAAUGGUAAGUGAAUCAAAAAGAGCUCAGCUUGAAAAUUGAGGUACUUCACACUUUGAAUUAUAGUCUGAAGAAGCAUCCUCUGUAGUGUGCCAGCCCCAAGUUUUUUGGAAUGGAAUGCUGAAGACAGUGACAUCCUCAUCAAGGGUAAUUUUUUGUUGCUCCAUGAGGCAUAAUCUAUAAUUUAAGUUAUUUAAGAAUACAAUCCUAAGUGGGAGGUAAAUUUUUUCUAAAGCUAAAUAUUAGUAUGAGACCAAUGAUAAAUAAGUACCACAAUAAAAUAAUGAAAAGAACUUUGAAAAAAAAAUUAAAUAAUGCUUGAAGUUAUUGAGAGGGAAGCAAAUGGAAGCUAUAGAUGUACCCCAGUUGGAUGUGGAAUGAAUUUGGCUAGUUUACCACUCAAUCAUAUUAAAUAUUAUUAAGCUAUCAUAACUACUAAUUGCUAUAUCUAAAAGAAUAAUUUCAUAUAUAACAUCUCCAAAGACAACAAACAAUGAUCUAUUAUUUCUACAUGCAAAUAUUUGGUUUUUUUAACUAUAGAUAUUUCUUGUUUUUAGGAAAAUUGUUCUACUAUAAAACAUGUUAAGGCUCAUAAGU
This 679-nucleotide non-coding RNA is filed under the name Physcomitrium patens. RNAcentral's name for it is "Physcomitrella patens Eukaryotic large subunit ribosomal RNA". It matches the Rfam family "Eukaryotic large subunit ribosomal RNA", at positions 1 to 624 of the family's 3401-position model. The record is from Rfam by way of RNAcentral. Lineage: Eukaryota; Viridiplantae; Streptophyta; Bryopsida; Funariales; Funariaceae.